Molecule: long non-coding RNA, 599 nt
Organism: Vigna angularis (adzuki bean)
Lineage: Eukaryota; Viridiplantae; Streptophyta; Magnoliopsida; Fabales; Fabaceae
Exons: 3
Source: RefSeq, a predicted model, not a curated record
CUUCCACUCACCUGCAUCACUCACCUUCUUUCUCUGAAACCUAAAAUCUUCCAUUUUCUCUGAUCUCUCUCUAGAACCAGUUGCCCUUCUCUCUUCUGUAACUCAUCUUCUUCUUCUCCGAUUCACUUUCCAGAACCAUAGGAACGUUCGUCCUGCUGUGAUCUUUCAUUUGGACCGAACAGAACUUGGAUCGGAACUGAUUUACGUGGGAACUGUUGAGCGAAGCCUGGGUGUAAGACGUGGUUAGAGGAAAACCUAAAAUCUUGUUAUUGGAAGUUCACUGCUAUCCAGAUGGUGGUGCAUCCCUUGAGCAAAUGCUGGAAGAAGAAAAUUUGGAUGAAACAAAUCUGGUGGAAGUUGAUGUGAAGGCCGAGCCUUAGAGCGCUCGUUAGAAUAGAUCUGUGAACGUUAGUGUAGUAAACGUUCGGCCAAGUAUUUUGUAAGGUCGUUCGUCUUAAGCUUCUAAUUUUUGUUUUGUCGUACGUUGUUUUAUACAUUUAAGAACGUUCGUUUCAGAUUCUCAUGGCCAGCGUUUAUGCGCCUUCUUUUGUACUGAUGUCGUUCGGCUUUUAAAUCCUAAUUUUAAUGCAAAGACUGUU